This is a long non-coding RNA of Oncorhynchus masou masou (cherry salmon), 455 nucleotides long. RefSeq lists it as uncharacterized. The transcript is spliced from 8 exons. The record is from RefSeq and is a predicted model, not a curated record. NCBI's taxonomy places the organism in Eukaryota, Metazoa, Chordata, Actinopteri, Salmoniformes, Salmonidae.
GAUUGGUCCAAAGGGUUUCCCCGGACUUAAGGGGCCCAAAGAUGAGCCUGGAGAUAAAGGAGAACCAGGAGAUCAGGGGCCAGAGGGUCUUCCAGGCGACAGGGGGCCCCAAGCAUCUCCUGGAUUGAAGGGUUUGCCUGGUGAGGUGGGGCCUCAGGGAACUGUUGGCCCACCAGGACCUUUGGGACCAAAAGGUCAAACAGGCCCUGAGGGGAGACUAGGCCAGAAAGGUCAAAAGGGGUAUGAUGGUCGAAAUGGGUAUCCAGGAAAGACCGGACACAUUGGAAGGAGGGGGAAUAGAGGAAAAACUGGAAGCAAAGGCUUAGGUGGAGAGAGAGGAGAAAAGGGAAAGAGGGGAGAUUUUGGUUCAACCGGGCCUCCAGGAAGACAAGGGCCUUACGGGACACCUGGCUUACAAGGAGAGAAGGGUCUAAUGGGUGGACCAGGUAUAGAGG